CAGGCAUUGUGACUCUUGGACACGCCUGUCGCUAACUUGUCAAGCCGCGGGCUUAUUUGUUCAGCACUGAGAGAAGUUUCCGUAUCAAGAGCCUGCCUCUGAGGGAACGGACUGUGGACAGUGGUCAAGGAGAAAUUCCUCUUCUGAUUAGUUUUAUUGCCCCUGUGACAUCUGAGGAGUAUGAAGUAGGCUGGUAAUUCAGUCCUAGAAGGAAAUUGGAAUAUUAAAGAAACAGCUUAUUGUUGCAAUCCCAUCAAACUUGCCUCUUCCAGUGGCAGUGAGAAGCUCCAUUGCGGGUGGAGAUGGAUUUAGGAAAGACUUCCUGCAUGAAAAUGGCAUUUCAACUGGACAUAGAAAGAUCAUCUGGAGGGAAGUUGGAGACAGCUUGGGGACCGAGGAGUAUUCCAAAGUACAACGGGUCCAGAGCCAAGGGUUGCAGGUGGCCUCCAGAAGCUGGAAAAGGCAAGGAGACAGAUGCUCCUCUGGAACCUCCUGGAAGAAGUACAGCCUUGCUCACCUCCCGAUUUUAGCCCAACGAGUCUGUCCUCAGAUUUCUGACCUCCA
Molecule: long non-coding RNA, 564 nt
Organism: Aethalodelphis obliquidens (Pacific white-sided dolphin)
Lineage: Eukaryota; Metazoa; Chordata; Mammalia; Artiodactyla; Delphinidae
Exons: 3
Source: RefSeq, a predicted model, not a curated record